This 22-nucleotide unclassified non-coding RNA is filed under the name Mus musculus (house mouse). Its description in RNAcentral is "oocyte_clustered_small_RNA12632". The record is from RNAcentral. Lineage: Eukaryota; Metazoa; Chordata; Mammalia; Rodentia; Muridae.
UAUGGAGCAAGUCAGUAAGCAG